UACCAGCACCCCGAGUGGUCUGGACGAUUAUUGGGCCUAAAGCAUCCGUAGCCGGUCCUGCAAGUCUUCCGUUAAAUCCAGCUGCUCAACAGAUGGGCUGCGGGGGAUACUACAUGGCUAGGAGGCGGGAGAGGCAAGCGGUACUUUAUGGGUAGGGGUAAAAUCCGUUGAUCCAUAGAAGACCACCAGUGGCGAAGGCGGCUUGCCAGAACGCGCUCGACGGUGAGGGAUGAAAGCUGGGGGAGCAAACCGG
Molecule: ribosomal RNA, 253 nt
Filed under: uncultured bacterium
Lineage: Bacteria
Description: partial 16S ribosomal RNA
Rfam family: Archaeal small subunit ribosomal RNA
Source: RNAcentral